CGAACGGGUGAGUAACGCGUGAGGAACCUGCCUCAAAGAGGGGGACAACAGUUGGAAACGACUGCUAAUACCGCAUAAGCCCACGGCUCGGCAUCGAGCCGAGGGAAAAGGAGCAAUCCGCUUUGAGAUGGCCUCGCGUCCGAUUAGCUAGUUGGUGAGGUAACGGCCCACCAAGGCGACGAUCGGUAGCCGGACUGAGAGGUUGAACGGCCACACUGGGACUGAGACACGGCCCAG
This 237-nucleotide ribosomal RNA is filed under the name uncultured bacterium. RNAcentral's name for it is "partial 16S ribosomal RNA". It matches the Rfam family "Bacterial small subunit ribosomal RNA", at positions 99 to 334 of the family's 1533-position model. The record is from RNAcentral.